Long non-coding RNA from Phacochoerus africanus (Common warthog), 1626 nucleotides. RefSeq lists it as uncharacterized. The transcript is spliced from 5 exons. The record is from RefSeq and is a predicted model, not a curated record. NCBI's taxonomy places the organism in Eukaryota, Metazoa, Chordata, Mammalia, Artiodactyla, Suidae.
UCCCCUCCCCCCCCACCAGGCCGUCCUUGGCCGAGUGGUGCUGCCGCUGGUGCCGCCGCCGGACCUCCUUAGCCGCUGCAGCCCACGCCCGCGAUGACCCUGCUGUCAGCCUCAGGGGACACUGCGGCCUCUGCCACGAGCCCGGGAGCCCGACGCCCAAAGGUCACUGGACCUGUGGUGCAGCUCUGGGACCCUGCUGUGCCGGCCACCAGGCCAGGUGCUGGAGAGCCAUUCCGGAGGACAGUCAAGGCGCCUGUGUCCAAAGCUGAAAUCAGAAGAGACGGACAACAAACACUGAUUCAGAAGGCGCUUCCAGACAGAGAAAAGCGUCUGAAGAGAGAUGGCAGGCAAAGUGAUGAACAGGAAAACGGGAGACGAUGAAGCAGGAGAGGAAGAAUGAGGGGCCCGCGUCUCUCUUGGUUCUGUGGUGAGACCCCUCCCCUUGCGGUGAAGGAGGGAUCAACACGGCGAGAACCUACGGACUUUUAAUAAGUGGAUUUUCCAGAAGCCACGUGACGCGUGACAACCUCUUGGCUCAGAUGCGGUGGAAUGCAGCUCGCUGUUCUUAUGUUCUGCAGAGCGUUCUAGGUUGACUCAUUGGCUUAACGAUGGGAGAUUUGGAGGGUCCGCUUUCUCGAGCCACAGCUGCACCGAUUUCGAACAAAGAACCGAGAAACGUGAGCGGCUGUAGCACGGCGUUGCUCACUCACAAAGGGAGACGUCUGAUGGGGGGAGAACCUGGUUGGAACUGCAGGCCAGGCUUGCUCACGGGACUAUUGCACGUCUGUGGGAAGAGAAGUGAGUUCAAAGUGAAGGAAUGUGCGUGGGCACACCCGUGCGCCGAGAACGGUGAUUAUGCUAACGAGCGUCCUGAGGAUGCGGCCCCGCGGCCGCCGUCCUUCUGACUCAGGUUGAGCGGCCGCCUUCCGAGGUGCUGUCAGCUUUGCACGUGCUGUCCUUCAGCCCCACUGUCUUCCCGUCCUGUUCGAGCGCAGUUGUUUUCCUGAGGCCUCAGGGUGGGAUUGAUUUACUGAGCCUGGUAAACCCCAUCUGCUAGCUUCAGACUGUCAUUCUCACCUGCCGCGGUCAUUGUGGUUGUGGACUUUGUCAUCUGCCCUUCCGCCCUGCUCUCCUGGGUUUGUGUCCUCUUCAUAUUUGAUAUCUCUGUCCCUCCGUCCACCCAUCCGUCCCUCUGUCUGUCCAGCGACUUUCUAUAGUGUACCCUGCUGUGUGCAGCCUCUGUGCUAAGCUCUGGGUACAGGGGUGAGCAGAACAGAAAGGAAUCUGGGUUCUCCUGGAGCUUUCACUGGGUAGAGAAGACAGACACUAAACCAAGAUGCACGGGUUACGGGGACGGCAUGGUACUGACAGGUGCCACAGAGAAAAGGAAAGCGGGGACAACGGAUGGGGUGGGGGCAGCCAGAGAAAACCGUGCGGAAGGGUAGUGUCCGUGCGGAGACUGGAGGGUGUUUCUAUCCAGUUCUUUGGAAAACACGGUGAAGAGGGAUUCAGCCUCUCUGUAGGUUGACGUUAAUGCAGUAACUGGCACCUUUGGGGUUCACCUGACUUUCUACUGAAACUCUAUACCUUCAGUGUCUAACCUGCAUUUCUCCACACUCUUCUGUU